This 907-nucleotide ribosomal RNA is filed under the name Flavobacterium sp. RNAcentral describes it as "bacterial SSU rRNA". It matches the Rfam family "Bacterial small subunit ribosomal RNA", at positions 60 to 975 of the family's 1533-position model. Lineage: Bacteria; Pseudomonadati; Bacteroidota; Flavobacteriia; Flavobacteriales; Flavobacteriaceae. The record is from RNAcentral.
AGUCGAGGGGUAUAGUAGCAAUACUAGAGACCGGCGCACGGGUGCGUAACGCGUAUGCAAUCUACCUUUUACAGAGGGAUAGCCCAGAGAAAUUUGGAUUAAUACCUCAUAGCAUAGCAGCUUCGCAUGAAGCCACUAUUAAAGUCACAACGGUAAAAGAUGAGCAUGCGUCCCAUUAGCUAGUUGGUAAGGUAACGGCUUACCAAGGCAACGAUGGGUAGGGGUCCUGAGAGGGAGAUCCCCCACACUGGUACUGAGACACGGACCAGACUCCUACGGGAGGCAGCAGUGAGGAAUAUUGGACAAUGGGCGCAAGCCUGAUCCAGCCAUGCCGCGUGCAGGAUGACGGUCCUAUGGAUUGUAAACUGCUUUUGCACAGGAAGAAACAACAUUACGUGUAAUGUCUUGACGGUACUGUGAGAAUAAGGAUCGGCUAACUCCGUGCCAGCAGCCGCGGUAAUACGGAGGAUCCAAGCGUUAUCCGGAAUCAUUGGGUUUAAAGGGUCCGUAGGCGGUUUAGUAAGUCAGUGGUGAAAGCCCAUCGCUCAACGGUGGAACGGCCAUUGAUACUGCUAGACUUGAAUUAUUAGGAAGUAACUAGAAUAUGUAGUGUAGCGGUGAAAUGCUUAGAGAUUACAUGGAAUACCAAUUGCGAAGGCAGGUUACUACUAAUGGAUUGACGCUGAUGGACGAAAGCGUGGGUAGCGAACAGGAUUAGAUACCCUGGUAGUCCACGCCGUAAACGAUGGAUACUAGCUGUUGGGAGCAAUCUCAGUGGCUAAGCGAAAGUGAUAAGUAUCCCACCUGGGGAGUACGUUCGCAAGAAUGAAACUCAAAGGAAUUGACGGGGGCCCGCACAAGCGGUGGAGCAUGUGGUUUAAUUCGAUGAUACGCGAGGAACCUUACC